This 222-nucleotide ribosomal RNA is filed under the name uncultured bacterium. RNAcentral's name for it is "partial 16S ribosomal RNA". It matches the Rfam family "Bacterial small subunit ribosomal RNA", at positions 109 to 334 of the family's 1533-position model. The record is from RNAcentral.
AGUAAUGCAUAGGAAUCUGCCCAGUAGUGGGGGAUAACUCGAAGAAAUUCGAGCUAAUACCGCAUAUGUCCCACGGGACAAAGCAGGGGACCUUCGGGCCUUGCGCUAUUGGAUGAGCCUAUGUCGGAUUAGCUAGUUGGUAGGGUAAAAGCCUACCAAGGCAACGAUCCGUAGCUGGUCUGAGAGGAUGAUCAGCCACACUGGGACUGAGACACGGCCCAG